CAGGGUAGAGGCACAUGGGAGAAGGAGAAGGCCAAAGGCAGAUGGGAAAAGAAUCGUGGAGGAGAACACACCAGGUGAGACGCCGAAGCACGACAGAGCAUACGGGACAGGCAGAGAAGCAGACAGGAGAUUGGAUGAAGAGAAAAGAAAAAGAACCUUAGAGGAGCCCUGAAGCUACAGCGAAGGAAACCCCAACACCGACCGCUAGCGGCAAAAAGUGGGAGAGCGUAAAACCUCUCCCUUCCGCGUUAUGCCCAAGGAAGGUGACCUAUGAAAAGGAGGCUGAUUCCUGGCAGAGCCCUGUGGGCGUUUUAAAGACGAGACUCCUGUUCCGUUGGACUGUUUUAACCUUAUUUUAGUGGUUGUGUUUUUAAUUUUAAUUGUUUUAUCCUUUUAAAAUAAAUGUGUUAUUUCUUAA
This is a long non-coding RNA of Perca fluviatilis (European perch), 418 nucleotides long. RefSeq lists it as uncharacterized. NCBI's taxonomy places the organism in Eukaryota, Metazoa, Chordata, Actinopteri, Perciformes, Percidae. The transcript has 2 exons. The record is from RefSeq and is a predicted model, not a curated record.